GUCGGGAUGGCUUAGUGGUCAGAGCAUCUGCCUAGCAAGCGGGAGUCCCGGAUUCGAAUCCCGGUCCGGCA
Schistocerca piceifrons (Central American locust) is the source of this 71-nucleotide non-coding RNA. Lineage: Eukaryota; Metazoa; Arthropoda; Insecta; Orthoptera; Acrididae. The record is from the annotation of a RefSeq genome assembly.